GCCAGCAUGGUGUAGUGGUUUGACUGUUAGACUACCACUCUGGAGAUCUGCGUUUGAUUCCUCAUUCUGACA
This 72-nucleotide transfer RNA is filed under the name Phrynosoma platyrhinos (Desert horned lizard). Its description in RNAcentral is "tRNA-OTHER". The record is from RNAcentral. Lineage: Eukaryota; Metazoa; Chordata; Lepidosauria; Squamata; Phrynosomatidae.